This 150-nucleotide unclassified non-coding RNA is filed under the name uncultured Trichoderma. RNAcentral's name for it is "sequence contains ITS1". The record is from RNAcentral. Lineage: Eukaryota; Fungi; Ascomycota; Sordariomycetes; Hypocreales; Hypocreaceae.
CCGAGUUAUCAACUCCCAAACCCCUGUGAACAUACCUGAACGUUGCCUCGGCGGGACCGCCCCGGCGCCCAACUCGCGGCCCGGACCCAGGCGCCCGCCGGAGGACCCAAACUCGUUGUUACUGUCGUCUGAGUAUCAUACCAAUAGUCA